Molecule: long non-coding RNA, 2155 nt
Organism: Mauremys reevesii (Reeves's turtle)
Lineage: Eukaryota; Metazoa; Chordata; Testudines; Geoemydidae
Exons: 4
Source: RefSeq, a predicted model, not a curated record
CCGGCAUGCUUUGCGGCGCGGACGGCCCUGGAGCCGGCUCAGGGGGCACCCGGGGGGCCGGGAGGAUCCGCUGGCAUCGUGCCCCAGGGCAGGGGGCCCCGGCUCGGGAGGGCCCGGCCCGGCAGCGGGGAGCCUGGGGACUGGUGCGGGAGCGGCCGGCCUGAGCGAGAGCAGCGGGGAUGGCUGAUGUCCCUGCAGGGUGCCCUCGGCAUGGAGUCCCCAUGACAACGAGAUGUGGCUUUCCAGGGACACCAAUUCCUAGCUCCAAAUCUGCAAGGUCCCAGCCUGCCUUGCAAGGUGGGGGGGCAGGGAUCACUCACCCUGCUGCUGAAAUGCAGCCACCUCUGGGGUGGGACGCACUGGAGAGGACGUUGCCGCAAACCCUGCUGCGUGGAUGCUGAACUCCCAGGAAGCAGACAGGGCGGUAGGAAUGUGAGAGCAGCAGUUGUCACCGGUUCACAGCAGCGAACAGUUUUGUCUGGCUCUCGGGACCCGGCUGGCACGAGCCGAGGGAGACCCAACGGAUUCUGCCACCAGCAGCCAGAGCCAGCCAGGAAGACGGGAACGAAUGGGGGGGAGAAGGAGGUGCAAUAAAAGCCCUGACCAGUGGGUGGUGCCCUCGCUCUGUACACAGCCCAGCCAAGAUAAUGGAGCCGGGGGUGGAUACUAACCACCAGCCACUGCCCUUGCUGCAGGCCUUAAACAGCCUGAAGAGGGGAAAUUGCAAUACAAGCACUGGCCACUGGGGGGCACCCGUGGUGUGCAGUGUUGAGCUGGGAAUUCAGUGCUAGGAGAGAUGGGGAAACUGAGGCACACAGUGACCUUGUCCAAGGUCAUACCGGGAGUCUGCGGUGGAGCUGGGAAUUGAGGCCAGAUCUCCCGAGUCAAAGCCCAGUGAAAGCUUAGUGCAUCCACGCCGUGCAGUACGAAUGAAAUACUUUCUAUUCCAGGAGUAACCAGGGAGGACUUAAACAGCAGCUGCUACAGCUAAACACUUUCAGAUCUGCAGGACCUGGAAAGCUUGUACCCGAGUGAUGUAAAAGAAUUGGCUGAGGAGCUCAUUGAGCCAUUAAUGUUGGUAUUCAGAGUUUUUUAAACACCGGGAAAGUCCCAGGGGACUGGGCAAAACACGACCAUUGUGCCAGUAUUUUAAAAUGAGAAAUGAGAUGACUUAGGUAACUAGAGGCCAGGGGUCAGUCAGCACCCUGGCAGGCCGGGCCAGUUUGUUUAUCUGCCGCGUUGGCAGGUUCGGCCGAUCACGGCUCCCACUGGCCGCGGUUCACCCUUCCAGGCCAAUGGGGGAGGCGGGAAGUGCCGCAGCCCGAGGGAUGUGCUGGGAGCCGCGAUCGGCCGCCCCCUGCUAUAGACUGUUUAGCCUGACAUCAGUCCUGGACACAGUCACCGCAGUAUUCCCCGUUUUGUAGUUGUGCACUUGAGUUUUCCUUCCUGAAGGGUUAAAAUCCAUGUGCAUUAUAUACCAACCUGGUAUAUGGAUUGUGCCAGCUCUUUUUUUAGACCCAAAGUCCAGAGUUUGGUCAACAGACCAGAGGCCCAGCAAAUAGUGAUUAGCUAAGGGAAAGCCGGGUAAACAAGAUAACUGCCUUUGCUAAGACAUGCGUGGUCAGUAGAAAUGCCAGAUGUUGAAGCAAUAACUGAAUAAUUAUGUUUCAUCCAAUGUUUCAAAUUGAACAAAGGAUCCCUGUUCCUAUUGUGUCAGUCUCUUCUGAAGGGAAGGUUCUUCCCACAGAUCCAACCUUGAGUAUAUGAAAAGUUGGCACAUGUCAGUAUAAGAUAUGGCCUCCUUCCACCUCCCUUCCCAGGGACCAGUGCCUGCCUUAAGACAUGAAGGGGACAAUCUUUAUUGCCAUAUACUUUCACUGUUUCUUUGCUUUAACCCCAAGGAAUGUACCUGGUGGACAAUCAGAGGAGUUGCUCCAUUCCUAUGGACCCCAAAUCAGAAUUCAACAUAGAUAUUUUAUACUAAUAACAUUUUAUCAAAGUAUUAAUUAAAUGUUAAUUUGCUAACUGGAUACCAUCGGCAGAGACAUUAUGUAACCUGUUAACCACUGGCUAAUGUGCUAUCUUGUCUUGCUGCAAAACCUAUCCGGGGGUGUGGAACUGCCCACCCCGUCACUUUCCCCCACCCACGGAAAAU